GACGAACCGUCCAAACGUUAUUCGGAAUCACUGGGCUUACAGAGUUCGUAGGCGGUCCGGUAAGUUAGGUGUGAAAUCCCCGGGCUCAACCCGGGAACUGCUUCUGAUACUGGCGUGCUUGAGGCCAGUAGGGGUCACUAGAACUGACGGUGGAGCGGUGAAAUGCGUAGAUAUCGUCAGGAAUGCCGGUGGUGAAGACGGGUGACUGGGCUGGUUCUGACACUGAGGCACGAAAGCGUGGGGAGCGAACGGG
RNAcentral lists this ribosomal RNA (253 nucleotides) under uncultured bacterium. Its description in RNAcentral is "partial 16S ribosomal RNA". It matches the Rfam family "Bacterial small subunit ribosomal RNA", at positions 524 to 776 of the family's 1533-position model. The record is from RNAcentral.